This 63-nucleotide transfer RNA is filed under the name Eophreatoicus karrkkanj. RNAcentral's name for it is "tRNA-Asp". The record is from RNAcentral. Lineage: Eukaryota; Metazoa; Arthropoda; Malacostraca; Isopoda; Amphisopidae.
AAAAGCUUAGUUAUUUAUUAAUGUAGGUCUGUCAGUCCUAAGAUAUCUUUUGGAUAGCUUUUG